This 393-nucleotide ribosomal RNA is filed under the name uncultured bacterium. RNAcentral describes it as "partial 16S ribosomal RNA". It matches the Rfam family "Bacterial small subunit ribosomal RNA", at positions 523 to 918 of the family's 1533-position model. The record is from RNAcentral.
AUACGGAGGAUGCAAGCGUUAUCCGGAUUUAUUGGGUUUAAAGGGUGCGUAGGCGGCGCGUUAAGCGUGAGGUGAAAGCUCGGGGCUCAACCCCGGAACUGCCUCGCGAACUGGCGUGCUGGAAUGCUCCUGCCGUGGGAGGAAUGUGUGGUGUAGCGGUGAAAUGCAUAGAGAUCACACAGAACACCGAUUGCGAAGGCAUCACACGAAGGGUUUAUUGACGCUGAGGCACGAAAGCGUGGGGAUCAAACAGGAUUAGAUACCCUGGUAGUCCACGCAGUAAACGAUGAUAACUAACCGCUGGGGUGUAAAUUUCAGUGGCCAAGCGAAAGCAAUAAGUUAUCCACCUGGGGAGUACGACCGCAAGGUUGAAACUCAAAGGAAUUGACGGGG